Molecule: long non-coding RNA, 9328 nt
Filed under: Vitis vinifera (wine grape)
Lineage: Eukaryota; Viridiplantae; Streptophyta; Magnoliopsida; Vitales; Vitaceae
Description: long non-coding RNA (VVIN_LNC007885)
Source: RNAcentral
UGCGCCUGGUAUAGGUGGUAUCUCCACCCACUCUCCCUUCUUUCCAGCAUCGGUGAUGUCUUCCUCCAUUUUCACAUAUAAUCCGCCGAUACCAUCUUGUAGCAACACCGUUAACAUGCCCAUAUCAGAGUGGCGUGCCACACCAACGGUGAGAUCAGGGUUGGGGCAGAUGGGGUAGAAGUUCAUGUUCACGAUUUUUAAACCAAUGAAGCCAUCCAUUCUUGAUUCCUCUAGUGUUACUCCAAGCUUCUCCAUUAACACUUCUAGUAUUCUUCUCACCAUUGAGUUGGAUGCCUUCAGGUACUCUAGUGCUACUUCCCUGCGGAAAAUAUGAAUAAUUUUGCAUGCCAUGAAGUUUAUCAUGAACAAGGUCUAAAAAGUGCUCCAUGUAAGUGGACCACUCUACCAUCUCGCAAGUUUCUCAUUCCUUUUUUAGUAUAUUGAUAUAUAGAUCUAAUCAGCUACCAAUCUGGAGUUAGAUUUGUUUGUACAUUUCAUAAAUUACUACAAUGAAUAUUUCUAUAUAAUAUGAACCAUUUAUAUAAGAAUCUUGUUGUUGUAUGUCACUUGAAGGGUCUAGUAAUAGUUACUAAAGAAGACUCUUUAACAUGCUUAGACCCAUUUUUUCAAAUUGCGAAGGUUAGUAGGUUUAAAGUAGAUAAUAUUUAUAUGGGAUAUAAAUUAUAUCAAAAUUAAUUCUUAGCCAAAAAUAUAAUAAUUAAGCUAUAUGGAACUUAAAUAAUAUCAAAAUUAAUUCUUAGUCGAAAAUAUAGUAAUUAAGCCACACAUAAAUUCAUGGGUCAUGAUGAAGAUGCAUGAAAAGAUUACUACAAUAUUCCACAAUGCAUGGUUAGAAGUUUCUAACACUUCAAAGAAACAACCUGUUAAAUAUAGGGCUAUUUGAUUAAAAGGGUAAGUGAAAACCCAAAAUUUGAAAUUUAACCCUUUGUCAAUUUUUUAUUUUUAUUUCAUUUUGAUAAAAUUGUUUUCAUUAUUUUCUUGUAAAAAUAACAUUUUGGUUUGAAACCUACAUGUUAAUACUUGAAAUGGUAAAAGAUAUUUAUUUUUUUAUAAAAAAAAAGUUACUUUUCAAGAAAAAACAUGAGAAGGGUUAGAUUCAUAAUUUGAAGAUUAUUUUAUCCCUUUUAAUUAAAUAUUUCUAUAAUAUAUAUAGAUGACUUUUACUUUAUGUGAAAAUUUGAAAGACUCACAUAUUCAAAGUUUUAUGUAGGGAUGACAAUGGGGCGGGUUUUUUCGAGUACCUGCCCCUCCCCUAAUGGAAUGGGGUUCAAUUUUAAUAAACGAGUUUGGGAUGGGUUUGGGCUCGCAUCGAUUAUAUAUAAAAUUAAAUUUAAAUUUUAAAUUUUAAUUUAAUUUAAAUUUUAAAAUUAAUUUAAUUUAAAUUUUAUUUUACUAUUUUUAAUAUGUAGAUAGUAAAAAAAUAAUUUUAAUAAAAUAAGUUAUAAAAAAUAUAAUGAUUUAAUUAUUUAUAAAAUAUAUUUAUUUUAAUGUAAUUAAAAAAUUUAAAAGUAAUUUUAAAAAAAAAAAACUGAAAAUAAGUUAAACAGGGCGGGGCGGGCGUGUAUGGGAAUUUAUCAUAUCAGCCCCGCUCCGCCCCAUUUAAUUUUUUAAAUGGGAUGGGAAUGGGAAUUGCUUUGAAUAAACGGGGCGGGGUUGGGAUGGGGGCGACCCGUCCCAAACCCGCCCCAUUGCCAUUCCUAGUUUUAUGUCUAUUUCGUUCAAACCAUGGACUUAAUCAUGAGGCAUGAGUAGUAUACACAUCUAUCAAGUUAUCACAAAAUAACAUAUAAUAUCAUAGGAUUAGGGUCAGUUGAAAAUUCUUACUUGCAUUCAUUAGGCCAAAAUUCAAGUGCUUCGCCAUCGCUGGUAUACACCAUACUAACAUAGUCCUUCCACUCCAAUGCUUUCUCUUUCUCAGGCACAAAGCUCGUCCCAUACUUCACAUAUGGGCUAGGGCUCACGCCCUUCCGAUACACCGCCUUCUUCUCAGGCGCUUGUCCAAAGAACUCAUGCGCUGCGCUCUUAACCGACUCCAGAACUUCAAUGGGCACCCUAUGGUUCACAACUUGGAAGAAACCAACCCUCUCGGCUGCCUCAGCUAUCAAUCCCACCACUUGGCUAUGCUGAGGUCCAUCAAGCAUUGAUAGAUCUAUUGGUGGUCGAUCAUAGGAACUUGCUUUGAGCUUGUCUAUGCGCUCAUGAUGUGGCUGGAUGUAUUGCUCUGGCACCUUCUCCAGGCCAAGAUCCACCAUGCCUUUGACUCCAUUGCCAUCUCUGACCACAAAGUUGUACACUGAAUCUCCAUCAUCAAAGUUAGGUGCCAUUGUCGAAUGAAGCUUGAAAAUCUUCUAGUUUUGUUGAAUGUUGAUGAUUCAAUAACCUUAUACCAAUGAUCCCAAUUAUUAUUGUCUAGUGAUCGUUGACUUUUGUGUGGUGUCGAAGCAAGACUCAGGGCCUUGAAGCUGGAUGGAGUAAGGGAAAGUACACAUAAUGCCACUGGGGUUUGGUGGCCGUGGUGGGGUUUAGGUGAAUAGAAAAAUACAAAAAACUCAUCCUCCAGGUUACCAACCAGUCAACAAUCACAUGCCAAGGAAAUAAUCCCAUGCCAACACAAAAAUAUAUGAUCUUUACAAUAACCAAUUAUAUAAUUUCAGGAAUUAUUUUAUAAAAGUUGUAAAAUAUUUAAUAUUUUGUAAAAAUAAAAAUUUUGUGAAAGAGAAGUUACAAUUUAAUUUGUAGGAUAUAAAGUGAUAAACUUAAGACCUUAAGAAAAAUAAAUUUAAAUUUGAAAUAAACUAAUAUAGUAUACAUGGUUAAAAAUUAAAAUGGUGAUAUAAUUUAUAAAUUGAGAAUUGCAUAAUUAAUUUAUAUUAUUUUAAUUUCAAAUUAUGAGUGGAAAAAAUUAGAUGAAAUAUUGAAAGUGUGAAAAGCAAUAUAAUUGGUAUUUGAAGUGGAAAAAAAAUUGAAUCAUUUCAAUUAAUUGUAAGUAUAAUUACACUUUUAAAAAAAUGUAAAUAAAUUAAAAUAAGUAUACAUUGUUAAAAAUUAAAAUGGUUUUGUACUAAUUAUUGAUUGAAAAUUGUAUUAAUAAAUUAUUUCUUACAAUUUAAAAUUAUUUAUAAAAAAUAUUAGAUAAAAUAUUGAAAAUACCAAAAAUAAUAUAAUUAGUAUUUGAAGUGGAAAAAUGAAUUGUAUCAUUUCCAUAAAUUUUAGUUGUAUAAAUUGCAUCAUUUUGAUAAAUUUUAAUUGUAUAAUAGUCUUUUUAAAGAAUGAAAGUGAAUUUUUGUUUUUCAAAUUCAAAGAAUUAGAUAUUUGAGAGGGUAAGAAAAAUGUGAGGAAUACACAAAUUAUUUGGAUCAUUUUUAUUUUUUUAGUAUUUUUUAUCAUUGAAUUUUUUAGGCAUGAAUUCCGCAACCCCUAAGUGUAAUUAACCUAUUUAAACAAUAUCUAACUCAUAUGAGAUUCAAAUUAAAUAAAAAAUAAAAAUUCAAAGAAGUGGAAAUUUGGGAGGGUACGAAGAAUAUGGAGAUUCCUCACAUUCUUGCUAAUUUGUUAGUAUUUUUGGAUUUUGAUUUUUUUUUUGGCAUGAACUCCUAUUUAAGCAAUAUACAAACAAUAUGAGAUCCAAAUUAAAAAAAAAAAAAAUCAAAAAAAUGGAGAUUUAGAAGGGUACGAAUAAUGUGAGGAUUCCUCACAUUCUUUGUACCCUUACUAAUUUUUUUUAGUAUUUGUGGAUUUCAAAUUUUUUGGGCAUCAAUUCUACACCCCUUAGGUGUAAUUAACUUACUUAAACAAUAUCCAACCCAUGUGAGGUCUAAAACAAAAAAAAACAAAAAAAAAAAAAGAGUGGAGAUUUGAGAGGGUAUGAAGAAUGUGAUGACUAAUUUUUAAGUAUUUUAUGAUUUCAAUAUUUUUGGACAUCAUUUCCACACCCUAAUUGGAGCCAAAAUAUGUGCUCUAAUGACACAUAUUCGAUAUGAUUUAUGCAUCAAAGGACAUUCAAAUCACUCACCUUGACCUAAAUCGAUGCUAAGGCCCUAGUCAUGAGUUUAACUUAUAUUUUGAAUAUUUAUCUCAGGUUCAAGGGAAGAAAACGGUGCAAGUUGAGUGGCUUUAGAUUUUGAAAGAUCAAGAAAUGGUUAAAUGAGGAAAUAAGUAAGCCAAGAUUCAUGGACCAUGAGGAAAGGCAAGAAGAGGAUAUCAUGAGUUUGGAAGAUGAGAAAUGACCAUUAUGGAGCAAGAAAGAAGGCAAGAAAACAUAAGAAAUGAGACAUGAAGCAAGAUUUAGUUGCAUGGAAAUUUAUAACUCAAAAUCUGAUGACAACAUAUACUCUGAAUUUGAGAACAAAGUUGGAGCACUUUCCAAAGUCCAUUUUAUACAUACUAUAUAUCAUUUCGAAGAUCGGGAAGUCAGAAGUGUAACGCUUCAAAUGCUGUGUAAAUCAAAGUUGAAAUGAAGAAGUUAUGAUCAUUUGAAGACAACUGUGCAAAUCUAAAGAGCCAUUUCCAAAUGAUUUCGAAAUUCAACUUAUGAAUUCGAAAUGAUUUCAAAAUUCAACUUAUGAAUUUGAAAUCCAAUUCAAAAUGACCCCAAUUUCAAAUUCACCUACUGUCACUUUGAUGUUUCGCCUCAUUUACCUCGGGAAUUGCAUCUAGGACAUUCUAUCCGCCCUAAGUGGACACAACACGACUAGAAAUCACCAUUUUAUUAUUAUUUUAAUCAUUUUUAGGUAAUUAUUUUGUAAUAAGUGGCCAAUGAGAGUGUGCCACAUAUUAGGUAAUUGGUAAUAUUAUAUAAAUAUUAUAUUAGGAAUCUUUUUCCGGAGAGUUUGACAUUGAAGGUGAAAGAAGACGAGAACUUUGGUUUGUUUUCUUUUUCUUCUUUAUUAAAUAUAUUGUUUUUAGUUUCUUUUUAUUCAAAUUAUUAAUUUUUACCCUAUUAUAGAUUGUAAAUGUGACAUCACCUCCAUGAGAGGCUAAAAAUUUUGGGCUUUGUGGAGCCUAGUUUUGUUUGAUCCGGUUUGACGACCCGACCCGAAUAAUAUUGCAUGGCCUUUUUAAUGGGAGAUUUAUUGAGGCCUGUUGAGCCCGUUUAGCCCAUUGUGGAACCACCUUUUGUAAUUAGGGUUUUUUAGUAUGGUAGGGUUGCCGUGCUAUAUAUAUAUAGAGAAUAUUGUAGCCGCCAAGUAGUACUCUGUAUUCUUCCCUGAUAAUAGUGAUAUCCCUGCAACUCCGUGGACGUAGGCAAAUUGCCGAACCACAUAAAUACUGUCUUGUGCGUGUGAUUGUUUUUCUUUGGCGUGUGUUUUUUCUCUAAUUUUUGUUUCUCACGGGUUGGGAAUUCGGUUUAAUUCCCUACAACUGGUAUCAAAGCCUAGGGUUAGGUUUGAGUGGGAGCAAUGGCAGAGGAAGCAGGAAAGGCGUCUGGAAUAGAAAAGUUUGAUGGCACAGACUUUGCGUAUUGGAGGAUGCAGACNNNNNNNNNNNNNNNNNNNNNNNNNNNNNNNNNNNNNNNNNNNNNNNNNNNNNNNNNNNNNNNNNNNNNNNNNNNNNNNNNNNNNNNNNNNNNNNNNNNNGGAAAGUACACAUAAUGCCACUGGGGUUUGGUGGCCGUGGUGGGGUUUAGGUGAAUAGAAAAAUACAAAAAACUCAUCCUCCAGGUUACCAACCAGUCAACAAUCACAUGCCAAGGAAAUAAUCCCAUGCCAACACAAAAAUAUAUGAUCUUUACAAUAACCAAUUAUAUAAUUUCAGGAAUUAUUUUAUAAAAGUUGUAAAAUAUUUAAUAUUUUGUAAAAAUAAAAAUUUUGUGAAAGAGAAGUUACAAUUUAAUUUGUAGGAUAUAAAGUGAUAAACUUAAGACCUUAAGAAAAAUAAAUUUAAAUUUGAAAUAAACUAAUAUAGUAUACAUGGUUAAAAAUUAAAAUGGUGAUAUAAUUUAUAAAUUGAGAAUUGCAUAAUUAAUUUAUAUUAUUUUAAUUUCAAAUUAUGAGUGGAAAAAAUUAGAUGAAAUAUUGAAAGUGUGAAAAGCAAUAUAAUUGGUAUUUGAAGUGGAAAAAAAAUUGAAUCAUUUCAAUUAAUUGUAAGUAUAAUUACACUUUAAAAAAAUGUAAAUAAAUUAAAAUAAGUAUACAUUGUUAAAAAUUAAAAUGGUUUUGUACUAAUUAUUGAUUGAAAAUUGUAUUAAUAAAUUAUUUCUUACAAUUUAAAAUUAUUUAUAAAAAAUAUUAGAUAAAAUAUUGAAAAUACCAAAAAUAAUAUAAUUAGUAUUUGAAGUGCAAAAAUGAAUUGUAUCAUUUCCAUAAAUUUUAGUUGUAUAAAUUGCAUCAUUUUGAUAAAUUUUAAUUGUAUAAUAGUCUUUUUAAAGAAUGAAAGUGAAUUUUUGUUUUUCAAAUUCAAAGAAUUAGAUAUUUGAGAGGGUAAGAAAAAUGUGAGGAAGACACAAAUUAUUUGGAUCAUUUCUAUUUUUUUAGUAUUUUUUAUCAUUGAAUUUUUUAGGCAUGAAUUCCGUAACCCCUAAGUGUAAUUAACCUAUUUAAACAAUAUCUAACUCAUAUGAGAUUCAAAUUAAAUAAAAAAUAAAAAUUCAAAGAAGUGGAAAUUUGGGAGGGUACGAAGAAUAUGGAGAUUCCUCACAUUCUUGCUAAUUUGUUAGUAUUUUUGGAUUUUGAUUUUUUUUUUUGGCAUGAACUCCUAUUUAAGCAAUAUACAAACAAUAUGAGAUCCAAAUUUUAAAAAAAUAAAAAAAUAAAAAAAAUGGAGAUUUAGAAGGGUACGAAUAAUGUGAGGAUUCCUCACAUUCUUUGUACCCUUACUAAUUUUUUUUAGUAUUUGUGGAUUUCAAAUUUUUUGGGCAUCAAUUCUACACCCCUUAGGUGUAAUUAACUUACUUAAACAAUAUCCAACCCAUGUGAGGUCUAAAACAAAAAAAAAACAAAACAAAAAAAGAGUGGAGAUUUGGGAGGGUAUGAAGAAUGUGAUGACUAAUUUUUAAGUAUUUUAUGAUUUCAAUAUUUUUGGACAUCAUUUCCACACCCUAAUUGGAGCCAAAAUAUGUGCUCUAAUGACACAUAUUCGAUAUGAUUUAUGCAUCAAAGGACAUUCAAAUCACCCACCUUGACCUAAAUCGAUGCUAAGGCCCUAGUCAUGAGUUUAACUUAUAUUUUGAAUAUUUAUCUCAGGUUCAAGGGAAGAAAACGGUGCAAGUUGAGUGGCUUUAGAUUUUGAAAGAUCAAGAAAUGGUUAAAUGAGGAAAUAAGUAAGCCAAGACUCAUGGACCAUGAGGAAAGGCAAGAAGAGGAUAUCAUGAGUUUGGAAGAUGAGAAAUGACCAUUAUGGAGCAAGAAAGAAGGCAAGAAAACAUAAGAAAUGAGACAUGAAGCAAUAUUUAGUUGCAUGGAAAUUUAUAACUCAAAAUCUGAUGACAACAUAUACUCUGAAUUUGAGAACAAAGUUGGAGCACUUUCCAAAGUCCAUUUUAUACAUACUAUAUAUCAUUUCGAAGAUCGGGAAGUCAGAAGUGUAACGCUUCAAACGAUGUGUAAAUCAAAGUUGAAAUGAAGAAGUUAUGAUCAUUUGAAGACAACUAUGCAAAUCUAAAGAGCCAUUUCCAAAUGAUUUCGAAAUUCAACUUAUGAAUUCGAAAUGAUUUCAAAAUUCAACUUAUGAAUUUGAAAUCCAAUUCAAAAUGACCCCAAUUUCAAAUUCACCUACUGUCACUUUGAUGUUUCGCCUCCUUUACCUCGGGAAUUGCAUCUAGGACAUUCUAUCCGCCCUAAGUGGACACAACACGACUAGAAAUCACCAUUUUAUUAUUAUUUUAAUCAUUUUUAGGUAAUUAUUUUGUAAUAAGUGGCCAAUGAGAGUGUGCCACAUAUUAGGUAAUUGGUAAUAUUAUAUAAAUAUUAUAUUAGGAAUCUUUUUCCGGAGAGUUUGACAUUGAAGGUGAAAGAAGACGAGAACUUUGGUUUGUUUUCUUUUUCUUCUUUAUUAAAUAUAUUGUUUUUAGUUUCUUUUUAUUCAAAUUAUUAAUUUUUACCCUAUUAUAGAUUGUAAAUGUGACAUCACCUCCAUGAGAGGCUAAAAAGCCAACUUGGGGCUUGAAGCAUGAAAACCUAAGGGCUAGGAAACCUAUAGGGGUAAUGGGUACAUUAUUAUAACAAUGAGAUUAAUUAUUAGUUGGGUAACAAUUUAUCAUUUUCUUUUAUCCUAUCCUUGUGAGUUAGUUUGGGGAAUGAUACGAUAGGUUACCCGAUACUAGUGAUUCAUGAUAAUUCUUGAUCAUUAGUUAUCCUCGUAUUCCCUAUCGUUAUUUGCCCCAAAACAAAGCUAUAAGGAGUAGGAAAGGUUAAAAAGUCAAAUCUUAAACUAGUAAUCAAUCUAAUUUAUUUGAUGGUUAUAGGAAUCUGUUUUUAAAAAUGAAAAAUUAGGUUUCAGAUGCAAUUUUGAGUUAUAGAACUCAAAUUGAUCAUGAGCGACCAAGGAUCCCAAAACCCUAAGAUCACUUUACUUAAGAAACCAUUGUUCUCUCUAUUUCUAUACCUUAAGUUAGAUUAUGGAAAGCCCUAAACUUGAAUCGAUUGAAUUAAAAAUCAAUUUAUGUUUUUUUUAAUAUUAAUUUAGUUCUUUUACUUAGUUUCACUUCAUUCACAUAUUAUUUUUCAUUUUAGGAUUUAAACAAAAGCAAUUCAUUUGUUAUAGUAUUAACAAUUUCCAUAAGUCUGUCCCUGAGGACGAUACCCGAAGUACUACAAAAGCCGUAGUGACUAUUUCUCUAGUUUUUCAUGUACUCCUCAAAGACAACCUCGCGAUAAUGAGCAACCCCAUCUCUCUCAACCACUUAAGGCAAUGGCCCGAUCUUCUCAUUUGGUUUAGGAAUGGUGAAUAUAGGGAUCGACACUCUAGAUUGAGUGCUUAUGGUACGCACCCUAUGUUCUGCGCUUUUGUACUUCCCAUUGCUUAAUAUCUGAAAAUUUGCAUACAUUCAUAUCAAAGAAAUGUCCAUUUGAGAAUGAUUUUAUGUACCUCUAUAACUAAAUUUUGUAAGUAUAUCAGUAUUAAUCUAACCUAUAAUGUAUCACCAACAUUGAUGACCAAUGCACCUGGUAUGGGUGGUAUCUCCACCCACUCUCCCUUCUUUCCACCACUCGUGAUGUCUUCCUCCAUUUUCACGUAUAAUCCAUCGAUACCAUCUUGUAGCAACAUCGUUAACGUGCCCAUAUCAGAGUGGCGUCCCACGCCAACGGUGAGAUCAGGGUUGGGGCAGGUGGGGUAGAAGUUCAUGUUCACCAUUUUUAAACCAAUGAGG